This 377-nucleotide ribosomal RNA is filed under the name uncultured bacterium. RNAcentral's name for it is "bacterial SSU rRNA". It matches the Rfam family "Bacterial small subunit ribosomal RNA", at positions 521 to 896 of the family's 1533-position model. The record is from RNAcentral.
UAAUACGGAGGGGGCCAGCGUUGUUCGGAAUUAUUGGGCGUAAAGGGCGCGUAGGCGGCCUGUCAAGUCAGACGUGAAAUCCCGCGGCUCAACUGCGGAACUGCGUUUGAAACUGACAGGCUUGAGUCCCGGAGAGGAUAGCGGAAUUCCCAGUGUAGCGGUGAAAUGCGUAGAUAUUGGGAGGAACACCAGUGGCGAAGGCGGCUAUCUGGACGGGUACUGACGCUGAUGCGCGAAAGCGUGGGGAGCAAACAGGAUUAGAUACCCUGGUAGUCCACGCUGUAAACGAUGGGCACUUGGUGUUGCGGGUAUCGACCCCUGCAGUGCCGAAGCUAACGCAUUAAGUGCCCCGCCUGGGGAGUACGGUCGCAAGGCUG